Molecule: non-coding RNA, 48 nt
Filed under: Schistosoma bovis
Lineage: Eukaryota; Metazoa; Platyhelminthes; Trematoda; Strigeidida; Schistosomatidae
Also listed under: 1 other name
Source: RNAcentral
AUCCAGCUAACGAGUCCCAAAUCGGACGAAACGCACGUCAAACUGGAU